Molecule: ribosomal RNA, 294 nt
Filed under: Triticum aestivum (bread wheat)
Lineage: Eukaryota; Viridiplantae; Streptophyta; Magnoliopsida; Poales; Poaceae
Description: partial small subunit ribosomal RNA
Source: RNAcentral
AUGCGCCAGCUAAGGCUUGUCACCAACAUGAGGGCUCAUAAUGACACCUGGUUUGCGGAUUACUUGCUAAGGGUAGGCAAUGGCACCGAGGAAGUUGACGAACAAGGAAACAUACGACUCCCUGAAGAUAUUUGUGUGCCGUCUACAGGCGAGGGUGAUGACCUGGAGAAGCUGAUUGACCAUGUGUUUCCGAGACUAGAUGACAACAUGACCGAUCCGAAUUACAUGACUUCACGCGCAAUUCUCUCCACCACGAACGACAACGUCGACAAGAUAAACAUACGCAUGGUAGAG